AAAUUAUUACGAGUUUGAUCCUGGCUCCGGAAGAACGCAAGAGAUGUGCUUAACACAUGCUAAUUGAAUGGUAUUAAUAUAUCAUAGUGUAAUAGUGAGUAAUGUAUGAGAAUUUAUUUUUAGAAUAUAAUAAAAAUUUAAUAAUUUAUAAUAAACGCAAUAGUGUUUUAAAAGAUAAUUAUUGUCUAAAAAAAAGCUCAUAUCUAAUUAGCUAGUUGGUGAAGUAAUAGUUUUACCAAGGCGAAGAUUAGUAGCUGCCUUGAGAGGGGAAACAGCCACAUAGAGAUUGAAAUACAGCUCUAACUCCUAAGGGGGGCAGCAGUGGGGAAUUUUCUGCAAUAAGCGCAAGCUUGACAGAG
RNAcentral lists this ribosomal RNA (359 nucleotides) under Toxoplasma gondii ARI. RNAcentral describes it as "partial small subunit ribosomal RNA". It matches the Rfam family "Bacterial small subunit ribosomal RNA", at positions 1 to 391 of the family's 1533-position model. Lineage: Eukaryota; Apicomplexa; Conoidasida; Eucoccidiorida; Sarcocystidae. The record is from RNAcentral.